Molecule: RNA transcript, 3854 nt
Organism: Rhincodon typus (whale shark)
Lineage: Eukaryota; Metazoa; Chordata; Chondrichthyes; Orectolobiformes; Rhincodontidae
Gene name: protein 4.1-like
Exons: 4
Source: RefSeq, a predicted model, not a curated record
AUAUUCCAAGAGGAAACAUGCAUGUGUGACACUGUUCAGGAACACACACCCCCAAAAAUGGUGGGACUUCAUACAGUGAUCCUAAGCUCUGAUCCACAUGGAACACCACUAUUUACCAUUUACCUCAUUCUUAGGCAAACAUUCUUGUUGACACUGAUCUUCGUAUUCCACAAGCCUCGAUUUUUGUUAACCAGCCUUUUAUGUGGAACUUUGUCAAAACACUUUCUUCAUAUGGACAAUUCAUUCCUUUCAUUAACCUUCACUUCAAAACUCCAUUUCGAUUAGACAAGCGCUACCUAUCUUGCUCAAAUCUGUGCUGGUGUUCCCCACUGAACUCGAUCCUCUCCAAGCUGCUGUUGAAUUUAUUGCUGGUUAGUAUUUCUAAAAGCUGAACUGUAACCAAUGUUAAACCAGCUGUCCUGCCAUUGCCAGGAAUAUGCUUACGCUUUUUAUUAAACAAGGAUGGCAGCAUGGUGGCUCAGUGGUUAGCACUGCUGCCUCACAGCACUAGGGGCUCGGGUUUGAUUCCACCCUCGGGUGACUGUCUUGUGUGGAGUUUGCACAUUCUCCCCGUGUCUGUGUGAGUUUCCUCUGGGUGCUCUGGUUUCCUCCCACAGUCCAAAGAUUUGCAGGUUAGGUGGAUUGGCCAUGCUAAACUGCCCGUAGUGUUCAGGGAUAUGUAGCUUAGGUGGGUUAUAAGAGGGAUGGGUCUGGGUGUGAUGCUCCAGGGGUCAGUGUGGUCUUGUUGGGCCGAAGGGCCUGUUUCUACACUGUAGGGAUUCUAUGAUAAUAAAGGAACAUUUUUGGAUAGAAGGGAAAACAGUUAAAAAAUAAUGCUUUUCUUUGUUCUUUAUUGUAACUUAAUACAGACAAUGGCAGUAGAAGUCUAACUUGGGGAAAAAACAGAUCUAGACAAAACCCAGGAUGAGAUCAUGAAACAUCAUGCUAGUAUUAGUGAACUGAAGCGCAGCUUUAUGGAGUCUGUACCUGAACCACGCCCUAGUGAAUGGGAUAAACGUCUCUCAGCACACUCACCUUUUAGAACAUUGAAUAUCAACGGGCAAGUUCAGUCUGGUACAGAAGGAGCCAUGGUGAUUUCAGGCCUACGUCCUGAAAAGAAGCUUGGUGGGCCAGAGAAAUUAAUAGAAGGCCUAUAUGGACAUUUGCGUACCAAUGAAAAACCAACAAUUUUCCAGGCAACCUACUUCCCAUAUGCAACACCUGAGAAGACCAUACGUGAGAGACAGAAACAGACUCCAAAUAAAUCUGCUUUGCUUUCCUCUAGUUCACACCCUCAGGUGCUAUAUAUGUUUUAUUCUUUCAGUAUCUUUACUCUUCCAUGCCUCUUGCUAUCACAAAUUCUCAGCAGCUGGUACUUUGUAAUUACUUAAUUUUUUACCAGUACCAUUCAGUUUUCUGAAAAAUGGCACAGUUCCUAUGAAGGUAGUGUUUCAGUGUCUGAACUGCUCCUUUCUCCCAACCUUGUAAAGGUGUGAGAGGCUUUGCGAGACUGGUCUUUCUCCCCUCAAAUGAAAAGUAAAAUGCUUGCUAAUGGUUAAUGGUUAAAGGCCCUAUUUGAAAAUAUUAUGUUUUGGCAAAUUCAAGUAUCCAUUAACAAUUGGAGUUUUAACAUAUAACUAUCAGUUUGCAACAUUAAUAUGCAUAACUUUACUCAUAAUGUAGCUGUGGGCAAACUUGCAUCCAUGGUCAGUCUGCUUUAUUGUCAGUUUGAACUGUUAAAUAUUGUUUGCAGUGUUGAACGUUGUCUUACAUCUGAAUGGAAUUGACCUCCUAGGAUUUCAGAAAUAUAAUGUCUUUUACAGCGAUUUAAAAAAAAUACUUCCAAAGGCUUCCUAAUAAGGAGCCUUAACACAGAAGUUCUAAACUGUGUAGAUUUCUUGUUGGAUGUUUUCUGAAACAUCUUUCAUAUUGCUUCUCCUCCUUCGGUUUGGUAUUUAUUAAAUCCUCUUGCUUGAUACUGAUAUAUUGCAUUUAUUUGGGUACAGUUUAUGAAGAGGGCCACAAGCUGCGCAAUAUAAAUAUUAGUAAAACAUAGUGUUUGAGGUUAAUUAUGGUAGAUGUUGGCAUGGUUUCAUAAAUUCUUUUUAUUAGGAUAGCAUGUUGCUUCUAUUGCUUUCAUUAAUAUUUUAUCUGUAAAGUGUAUCCUUGGUCUGAAUUUGAAGUUCACACAACAUGCAAAAUGUCAGAAUUUGACCCUCAAGUUACCUAAUAAAUGGAAGUAAAAGAAGGCUAUUCACCACUUCGAAACUGUACUGCUGUUCAAAAAGAAUAUGAUAUGACUGGGGCCUUAAAACCACUUCCCUGUCUGUCCUCCAUAAUCUUUGACUCCCUUAUCAAUCAAAAAUCUUUCUAACUCAACUUUGAAUAUAUUCAAUAACCCCAGCUUCCACUGCUGCCUGGAGAAGAGAAUUCCAAACAUUGAUGACCCUCUGAGAGAAUAAAUUUCUCCUCAUUCCCAACUUAAAUAAGAGAUGCUUUAAUUUGAAGCAGUAUUAUACACGAGAAGACAUUCUCUUAGCAUCAAUCCUGUCAAGUUCCCUCAAGAUCUUGUGUUUCAAUAAAAUCACUUCUCAUUCUUGUAAAUUUCAUUUGAGUAGGAGGCUCCACCUUUCUUCAAAAGUCAAAUCCCUCAUUCCAGGAAUCCGUCAAAUGAACCUUCUCUAAAUUACUUCCAGCGCAAGUAUAUUCAUCAUGCACUUUGACAAGAAGAAUCAAAAGACAAGCUAUUGUUUUAUUUGGAGAGAGACUUCAAAAAAGUGCAGCACAGAGGGAUCUGGUUUUUUUCUGCAAAAUAGGCAGGGGCAGCAAUUCAUUAAGAAGGCAAAAGGAAUUUGGGUCUUUAUUGUUAGAAGUUUGGAUUUUAAAAAUGGUGAAGUCUUGUACAAUUUUGUUUCCUGUGUUUAAAAAGAGAUAUACUGGCAUUGAGUUCAAAAGUGAUUCUGUUGGCUGAUUCCUGUGAUGAAAGGGUUGACUUAUCAGGAACAGUUAAACGUGCCAGGCCUUUAUUCAUGAGAGUUCAGAAGUGUGAGGGACGAUCUUAACAAAACAUACAAGAGAUCUUAUGGAGGUUAGAUCGCUUAAAAUGUUUAAAGAGGUAGAUAGAUUUUUGAAAUCUCAAAGAAUUGUGAGCAUUGAGGAACUGACAUGAAAGAUGAGUUGAGGCUGAAUGGCCUAAUCCUGCAGCAAUUGCUUAUAUUCCUUAAGCAAAGUAUACUCAGUACUUGGUGUGAUCUUAAUGUCUUGUACAGUUGUUCAAAACGUCCUUACUUUAUUCAUCUUGCAAUAAAGGCCAACAUGCUGUUUAAGACCAAAAGCCAUUUAGCUACUCGAGUCUGCUCUAGUAUUCAAUGAGAUCAUGGCUGAUCUAAUAAUCCUCAACUUUUCUGCCUAUCCUCAUAACCCUUUAUUCCCUUACUUAUUAAGGCCGAGAUGGAUUUUUAAUGACCCAACUUCAACAGCCCUAUGUGGAGAAGAAUCUCACAGCCUCAACCCUCAAAGAAUUUCCUCCUGAUUUGUGUCUUAAAUUUAUGACCACUUUUAUUCUGAAAUUACACAGUUUAGUCUUAGGCUACCCCACAAGGGUAAGCAACCUUUCCGCAUCUACCAUGUAAAGAUCCUUAAGAAUAUUGUAUGUCUCAGUGAUUGGUCACCUCUCAUUCUUUUAUUUACUAAUGAGUACAGGCCCAGUCUACUCACUGUUUCGUCAUUAGACAGUCCCUCGAUACCUGGGAGCAGCUUCAGGAACCUUCUCUGCUCUGCCUCUAAUGCCAGUGUACCCUGCCUUAAAUAAGGGACCCAAAACUAUCUCAUUACUCCAGCUGUGGUCUGACUAA